CUCAUGACAUUGUACAGAACACUGGUGAGACCUCACUUGGAGUAUUGUACGCAGUACUGGAGACCGUAUCUUCAGAAGGAUAUUGAUACUUUAUAGAGAGUUCAGAGAAGGGCUACUAAACUGGUUCAUGGAUUGCAGGAUAAAACUUACCAGGAAAGGUUAAAGGAUCUUAACAUGUAUAGCUUGGAGGAAAGAAGAGACAGG
This is a non-coding RNA of Pelobates cultripes (western spadefoot toad), 204 nucleotides long. NCBI's taxonomy places the organism in Eukaryota, Metazoa, Chordata, Amphibia, Anura, Pelobatidae. The record is from the annotation of a GenBank genome assembly.